RNAcentral lists this ribosomal RNA (346 nucleotides) under uncultured bacterium. Its description in RNAcentral is "bacterial SSU rRNA". It matches the Rfam family "Bacterial small subunit ribosomal RNA", at positions 73 to 422 of the family's 1533-position model. The record is from RNAcentral.
AAGCCCUUCGGGGUGGAUUAGUGGCGAACGGGUGAGUAACACGUGGGCAAUCUGCCCUUCACUCUGGGACAAGCCCUGGAAACGGGGUCUAAUACCGGAUAACACUCUGUCCCGCAUGGGACGGGGUUAAAAGCUCCGGCGGUGAAGGAUGAGCCCGCGGCCUAUCAGCUUGUUGGUGGGGUAAUGGCCUACCAAGGCGACGACGGGUAGCCGGCCUGAGAGGGCGACCGGCCACACUGGGACUGAGACACGGCCCAGACUCCUACGGGAGGCAGCAGUGGGGAAUAUUGCACAAUGGGCGAAAGCCUGAUGCAGCGACGCCGCGUGAGGGAUGACGGCCUUCGGG